UCUUGGGUAGGGGAGCGUUCCUUGUGCAGCGAAGUCGAACUGGAAGGUUCGGUGGAGCGCAAGGAAGUGAGAAUGCCGGUAUGAGUACACGAAAAGGCAGGUGAGAAUCCUGCCCGCCGAAAGCCUAAGGGUUCCUGGGGAAGGCUCGUCCACCCAGGGUAAGUCGGGACCUAAGCCGAGGCCGAAAGGCGUAGGUGAUGGACAACAGGUGGAGAUUCCUGUACCACGUUGCAUCGUUUGACCGAUGGGGGGACACAGGAGGAUAAGUGAACCGUGCGACUGGUCGUGCACGGCUAAGGACGGUAGCGGUGUUCCAGGCAAAUCCGGAACACAAUACGCGAAGGUCUGAUGGGGAGCGAAAAUAAGUAGCGAAGUCACUGAUUCCAUACUGUCAAGAAAAGCCUCUAGGGAGACGUAACGUGCCCGUACCGCAAACCGACACAGGUAGGCGAGGAGAGAAUCCUCAGGCGCGCGAGCAAACCCUCGUUAAGGAACUCGGCAAAAUGACCCCGUAACUUCGGGAGAAGGGGUACUCUCCGCAAGGAGAGUCGCAGUGAAGAGGCCCAGGCGACUGUUUAGCAAAAACACAGGUCCCUGCCAAACCGAAAGGUGACGUAUAGGGGCUG
This 626-nucleotide ribosomal RNA is filed under the name Heliobacterium chlorum. RNAcentral's name for it is "partial 23S ribosomal RNA". It matches the Rfam family "Bacterial large subunit ribosomal RNA", at positions 1222 to 1854 of the family's 2925-position model. The record is from RNAcentral. Lineage: Bacteria; Bacillati; Bacillota; Clostridia; Eubacteriales; Heliobacteriaceae.